Platichthys flesus (European flounder) is the source of this 164-nucleotide small nuclear RNA. RefSeq annotates it as U1 spliceosomal RNA. The record is from RefSeq and is a predicted model, not a curated record. NCBI's taxonomy places the organism in Eukaryota, Metazoa, Chordata, Actinopteri, Pleuronectiformes, Pleuronectidae. The transcript has a single exon.
AUACUAACCUGACAGGGGAGAUACCAUGAUCAUGAAGGUGGUUCACCCAGGGCGAGGCUCAGCCAUUGCACUUCGGUUGUGCUGACCUGUGCGAACUCCCCAAAUGUGGGAAUCUUGACUGCAUAAUUUGUGGUAGUGGGGGACUGCGUCCGCGCUCUCCCCUG